CGAAAGCCUGACGGAGCAAUACCGCGUGAGGGAUGACUGCCUAUGGGUUGUAAACCUCUUUUUUCAGGGAGGAACACAAUGACGUGUACCUGAAGAAUAAGCAUCGGCUAACUCCGUGCCAGCAGCCGCGGUAAGACGGAGGAUGCAAGUGUUAUCCGGAAUCACUGGGCGUAAAGCGUCUGUAGGUGGUUUAAUAAGUCAACUGUUAAAUCUUGAGGCUUAACCUCAAAAUCGCAGUCGAAACUAUUAGACUAGAGUAUAGUAGGGGUAAAGGGAAUUUCCAGUGGAGCGGUGAAAUGCGUAGAUAUUGGAAAGAACACCGAUGGCGAAGGCACUUUACUGGGCUAUUACUGACACUCAGAGACGAAAGCUAGGGUAGCAAAUG
This 385-nucleotide ribosomal RNA is filed under the name uncultured bacterium. RNAcentral describes it as "bacterial SSU rRNA". It matches the Rfam family "Bacterial small subunit ribosomal RNA", at positions 376 to 774 of the family's 1533-position model. The record is from RNAcentral.